GCACUUCUGAGGAGUCUCAUAAUAGGACGAAACGGCCGUCCAGUGC
This is a non-coding RNA of Schistosoma mansoni, 46 nucleotides long. NCBI's taxonomy places the organism in Eukaryota, Metazoa, Platyhelminthes, Trematoda, Strigeidida, Schistosomatidae. The record is from Rfam.